GCCGAAGGUGGGACCAAUGAUUGGGGUGAAGUCGUAACAAGGUAGCCGUAUCGGAAGGUGCGGCUGGAUCACCUCCUUUCUAAGGA
This 86-nucleotide ribosomal RNA is filed under the name Bacilli bacterium. RNAcentral describes it as "partial 16S ribosomal RNA". It matches the Rfam family "Bacterial small subunit ribosomal RNA", at positions 1455 to 1533 of the family's 1533-position model. Lineage: Bacteria; Bacillati; Bacillota; Bacilli. The record is from RNAcentral.